GUUUUUAUAGCUUAACUAAAGCAUAGCACUGAAAAUGCUAAGAUGAGCCAUAACACAGGCCCUUAAAACA
RNAcentral lists this transfer RNA (70 nucleotides) under Dendrobates auratus (green and black poison dart frog). RNAcentral describes it as "tRNA-Phe". It matches the Rfam family "tRNA". From Rfam's summary of the family: Transfer RNA (tRNA) molecules are approximately 80 nucleotides in length. Lineage: Eukaryota; Metazoa; Chordata; Amphibia; Anura; Dendrobatidae. The record is from RNAcentral.